RNAcentral lists this ribosomal RNA (471 nucleotides) under Pyrophorus divergens (Brazilian luminescent click beetle). Its description in RNAcentral is "eukaryotic LSU rRNA". It matches the Rfam family "Eukaryotic large subunit ribosomal RNA", at positions 600 to 866 of the family's 3401-position model. Lineage: Eukaryota; Metazoa; Arthropoda; Insecta; Coleoptera; Elateridae. The record is from RNAcentral.
CGACGCGGUGUCCCGGCCGGCCCGCUCGACGGUGUGCAGUGGCGGUGGGCCGCCUAUAAUAGAGAGGCGUCCGACCCGCCGCAAGCUCGGCGAAGUUCCGCGGGCUCGGACCUGGUGCCGACCCCGGGACCGUCCGGCUGUUGGCGGCGGAGUUCUCGGACAGACCCGGAACACGCCCGUCGGCGACGCUAUAGCUUUGGGUACUUUCAGGACCCGUCUUGAAACACGGACCAAGGAGUCUAGCAUGUGCGCGAGUCAUUGGGAUUCGUUGCUAAACCUAAAGGCGAAAUGAAAGUGAAGGCGCGCCUCGCGCGCGCCUAGGGAGGAUGGGCGAGGGCAUUUUUCCUACUCGCCCCGCACUCCCGGGGCGUCUCGUUCUCAUAGCGAGAAGAGGCGCACCCAGAGCGUACACGCUGGGACCCGAAAGAUGGUGAACUAUGCCUGGUCAGGACGAAGUCAGGGGAAACCCUG